CCUACGGGGGGCAGCAGUGGGGAAUAUUGCGCAAUGGGCGAAAGCCUGACGCAGCGACGCCGCGUGAGGGAUGAAGGUCUUCGGAUCGUAAACCUCUGUCAGCAGGGAAGAACGGUCACUUUGCUAAUCAGCAGUGAAUUGACGGUACCUGCAAAGGAAGCACCGGCUAACUCCGUGCCAGCAGCCGCGGUAAUACGGCGGGUGCGAGCGUUAAUCGGAAUUACUGGGCGUAAAGCGCUCGUAGGCGGUAUGUCAAGUCAAGGGUGAAAUCCCCGCGCUCAACGUGGGAACUGCCUUUGAAACUGGCAAACUGGAGUGUGUGAGAGGAGAGUGGAAUUCCAGGUGUAGGAGUGAAAUCCGUAGAUAUCUGGAGGAACAUCAGUGGCGAAGGCGACUAUCUGGAACAUAACUGACGCUGAGGAGCGAAAGCGUGGGUAGCAAACAGGAUUAGAUACCCCAGUAGUC
This 465-nucleotide ribosomal RNA is filed under the name uncultured bacterium. Its description in RNAcentral is "partial 16S ribosomal RNA". It matches the Rfam family "Bacterial small subunit ribosomal RNA", at positions 338 to 795 of the family's 1533-position model. The record is from RNAcentral.